This 867-nucleotide ribosomal RNA is filed under the name uncultured archaeon. RNAcentral's name for it is "bacterial SSU rRNA". It matches the Rfam family "Archaeal small subunit ribosomal RNA", at positions 1 to 869 of the family's 1478-position model. The record is from RNAcentral.
UUCCGGUUGAUCCUGCCGGAGGUCAUUGCUAUUGGAGUCCGAUUUAGCCAUGCUAGUUGUACGAGUUUAGACUCGUAGCAAAUAGCUCAGUAACACGUGGCCAAACUACCCUGUCGAUCGGGAUAACCUCGGGAAACUGAGGCUAAUACCGAAUACGGCUCGAUGCCUGGAAUUGGCUCGAGCCCGAAACGCUCCGGCGCGACAGGAUGUGGCUGCGGCCGAUUAGGUUGACGGUGGGGUAACGGCCCACCGUGCCCAUAAUCGGUACGGGUUGUGAAAGCAAGAGCCCGGAGACGGAAUCUGAGACAAGAUUCCGGGCCCUACGGGGCGCAGCAGGCGCGAAACCUUUACACUGCACGAGAGUGCGAUAGGGGGACUCCAAGUGCGAGGGCAUACAGUCCUCGCUUUUCUGCACCGUAAGGUGGUGCAGGAAUAAGUGCUGGGCAAGACCGGUGCCAGCCGCCGCGGUAAUACCGGCAGCACGAGUGAUGACCGCUAUUAUUGGGCCUAAAGCGUCCGUAGCCGGCCGGGCAAGUCCAUUGGGAAAUCCGCACGCCUAACGUGUGGGCGUCCGGUGGAAACUGCUCGGCUUGGGACCGGAAGAUCCAGAGGGUACGUCUGGGGUAGGAGUGAAAUCCCGUAAUCCUGGACGGACCACCAGUGGCGAAAGCGCUCUGGAAAGACGGAUCCGACGGUGAGGGACGAAAGCUAGGGUCACGAACCGGAUUAGAUACCCGGGUAGUCCUAGCCGUAAACGAUGUCUGCUAGGUGUGGCGCUGGCUACGAGCCAGCGCUGUGCCGUAGGGAAGCCGUGAAGCAGACCGCCUGGGAAGUACGUCUGCAAGGAUGAAACUUAAAGGAAUUGGC